Molecule: long non-coding RNA, 2162 nt
Organism: Pseudophryne corroboree (corroboree frog)
Lineage: Eukaryota; Metazoa; Chordata; Amphibia; Anura; Myobatrachidae
Exons: 5
Source: RefSeq, a predicted model, not a curated record
CAAUCCCAGAUGGCGUCGCCGUUGCCGGGAGACAGGAGAAGAACGUGAACGUUGCCAAGAGUUGUAAAAAGGGAAUAGUUGGUGGCGUGGAUAGUAGAGGUACUAUCCCGCUGGCCUAGCUCCUCCCCCUUGUGUUGUGACUCACCUGCCCGGCCUCCACAGCUCUGGUUUAGGUGGAGCUGCCUUCAGUGCCUUACCCUUGAUUGAAGUCCUGCGGCCACCCACUCACACGCACGUCCACUGGCAUAUCUGACUGCGGGGCAGUGGCUGCGGCACUAGUAGAUUUCAUCAUUGUAAAUAUCCCAACGAGAGCCAGUUUGCUGCAAAAUGACAGCACUUAAUAUAGACUCAAGGCACUUUAUUAUUGAACAAGGCAUCUUCUGGACGAUGUGAUCUGCUACAUGAAUAGUGAAUACCGACUGAAGACGCUGUCUGACUUAGAGGAUACAUUUCUUCAGAGGUUCCUUUUGGCCGGUCUCCGUGACAACGGAUAGUGGAAUGUGCCUUCAUCACUGGGCGCCAUAAUCCCUGGCUCCGGUCUUGCCGGUGCACAUGGUGUGAGAACUUAGGGGAUAUAUGGCCCUCACUCUCCUCAGAUGAUAAGUACAGUAUAUGGAGCGAAAUUUCUCUUUUGUGGUAAAGAGGGGAGGAGAUUCGACCUUUUGGGUCUUGAGAUGGAGCCGACCGUUAAUUACAUCUCACCGAAUUAUACUCUUCAGCGGUUUCAGAUGGAUAGGAGCUUCGCAUUUGCACAACAGAGAGGAGAGCGAGAGAAAAAAAAAAUACCCACUUAACUGAUUUAACCAUCGAUGCAUUGAUACCGUCCUUGAUUAGCAAAGCAACAGACCUGAUUGCCUGGGACAUGUGAAACAGAGGAAGCACAGCACCAGUGGAACCACUCACAUUGGAGAUGCUUAAGGACCCCCAGGACGUACACAUAGAGACGGCUACUCUGAUGAAAGCUGGAGAAUUCCCACCUCUGAACUGUAGGUCUGAACACCAGGCAGAGAGCAACAUUCAUUGGGAAGAUGCUAGGGUUCUGACUGGAACUGACUGUGGUAUUUGGCACUUCUGGGUGUGCACUACUGUGCAGAGUCCAGUCUUCCAGUCCUCCAGGGAUGCUUCAUUCCCUAUCCCAAGAUGGCAACCGAGCUCUCUACGGGGCAUGUGCAUUUACAUAGCUUUUUUCCCCCUGUAGGCCUCUAAGCACUAUACAUUUUAGCAGAAGGUGAGGCAGCCAUCUUGGGUUCUCUCAGUUGCUAUCCUAUGUAAUCUUCCUUCACUGAAACCAUUGUGAAAUGCGGUGAAGCCCGAUAAACCCACCUACUUACUAAACAGGCAGCCAAUGAUGAGCUGUUUUUCAUCAAUCAGAGAUGAGAGACCUCCCCCUAUUGGCCAGACAUCUAUUAAGUAGGCAGGCUUCCUGGAGAUGGGUUUAGUAUUAAAUUACUACAAUCAAAAUCCCGACGGUCAAAAUACCGACAACAAUUGACGGUCAAAAUACACACAGGUCAAAAUACCGACAUUUAAGAUGCCGGCAGGUCAAAAAGUCGACAUGAGUUUGUCAUUAUUAAUUUUUUGUGUGUAUGUCGACAUAGGUCGAUAUGGACACCGUAUAAGUGUACCGUGUCCCCUCACAUGGCUCGCGCUUCGGGCACGGUGAUAUUCUCCCUCCAGGUCCACUGGGAUGGUAAAGUAUGAACAAAUCGGUUUCAAUAAAAAACUCAUGUCAACUUUUUGACCUGUCGACAUUUUAAAUGUCAGUAUUUUGUCUUUGUCGGUAUUGUAAAUGUCGUUAUUUUGACCUUGUCGGGAUUUUGACCGUCGGUCAAUGGUUGUCGGUAUUUUGUCCGUCUGGAUUUUGAUUGUAGGUAAAUUGUCCGCACCCCCUGGAGAUAACUCAUUUGAUGUCAGGGCUUCUAAGGAGCAGUCUGUGUCACUUCUAGAAAAGAUCACCGUGGGUCAGUAAUCAGAAAUACCACUUCUUUACAGAAAAUAUUACUAUAAUAUAAAAAAUGAUAUUGCUGCCAAAAUAAUGAUAUCUCACUUCAACUAUUGGGGCAGAAUUAAUUAAAGUUAUUUAUCCAGGGGAACUAAUAUUUAAUAAAAACUAUAGGAGGGCAUUAUUCUUUAUUUUUAUUUACUUUAUUCCAUGGUAUAGA